RNAcentral lists this ribosomal RNA (253 nucleotides) under uncultured bacterium. RNAcentral's name for it is "partial 16S ribosomal RNA". It matches the Rfam family "Bacterial small subunit ribosomal RNA", at positions 524 to 776 of the family's 1533-position model. The record is from RNAcentral.
UACGAAGGGGGCUAGCGUUGCUCGGAAUCACUGGGCGUAAAGCGCACGUAGGCGGCUUCUUAAGUCCGGGGUGAAAUCCUGGAGCUCAACUCCAGAACUGCCUUUGAUACUGAGUAGCUUGAGUCCGGGAGAGGUGAGUGGAACUGCGAGUGUAGAGGUGAAAUUCGUAGAUAUUCGCAAGAACACCAGUGGCGAAGGCGGCUCACUGGCCCGGUACUGACGCUGAGGUGCGAAAGCGUGGGGAGCAAACAGG